RNAcentral lists this non-coding RNA (17 nucleotides) under Mus musculus (house mouse). Lineage: Eukaryota; Metazoa; Chordata; Mammalia; Rodentia; Muridae. The record is from RNAcentral. RNAcentral also lists the same sequence under 1 other name.
AAAGUCGUAACAAGGUU